CGCGCGUCGCCGACUUACCUUCCUCCGCGGUGUCCAUCUUGUCUGGGGGGGCGGCGGUGACGCAGCCACGAGGCUCCCGCGGCCGGGCGGGGAAAGAGUGAGGGGAGAGGAGGAGGGAGCCGGGCCCGGGCAGGAACUCAACUGUUAGGCAGAAGGGAGGAAUGUACUGUUGAUAUGGACAGACUCCAAGAAGGGGAGGGACUGCUGGGACUACUGGAAUGAGAAUGCCUCUGCCCCCAUGGCUCAGCUCUGCCACUCUCUCUGCACAUUGGCUUCAUGCUGUUAGACCAGCUUCCUCCAUAUGUCUGGAAACAAGGCCACUGACAGCUCCCAACAUUUCAUCUUCUGCCUCAUCAUCAGACAGGCGAGUGCAGUGGCAUAAUCUCGGCUCACUGCAACCUUUGCCUCCUGGGUUCAAGCAAAGACUGGAAUGAUGCAGCUUCAGGCCAAGGAAUGCUGGCAGCCACCAGAAGCUGAAGGACACAAGGAAUGGAUUCUCAGAGCCUCGGCAGGAAAUGUGGCCCUGCCAACACCUUGAUUUCAGACUUCUCAACUCCAGUACUGGGAGGGAAUAAACUUCUGUUGUUUUAAGCCUCCCAGUUUGUGAUAAUUUGCUACAGCAGCCACAGGAAGCAAAUAAGGAGGGCCUAUUUGGAGGAGGAUGCAAACCCAGCAGUGGGUGACGAACUAUUCAUACUUACAGCUACCUUAUUCAUCACUAGUCUAGACUUAAGCAUUGACUUCAUCACUGAAAAGGCUGCAGCUGAGCCUAGAGUUUCAGGUUCCUGUGCUGCAUAUGGCUACAGUGAUUCUUAGGUCAGCUCCCUAGGAUGCAGUUGAGUCUCUCUCUAACUGCUGAGUCUCUUUAAAUAUACAGCUGGGGCUGGGUGCGGUGGCUCACACCUCUAAUCCUAGCACUUUUGGAGGUUGAGGAGGGAGGAUCACUGGAACCCAGGAGUUCAAGACCAGCGUUGCCAACAUAGUGAAAACCAUCCCUACUAAAAAAAUACAAAAAUUAGCCGGGCAUGGUGGCGCACACCUGUAAUCCCAGCUACUCGAGAGGCUGCGGUGGGAGAAUCACUUGAACCUGAGAGGCAGAGGCUGCAGUGAGCCAACAUCGUGCCACUACACUCCAGCCUGGGCAACAGAAUGACACUCUGUCUCAAAACUACGUAAAUAAAUAAAUAAAAUCUACAGCGGGCCCUCCCUGUUCAUGGGUUCUGCAUCCAUGGAUUCAACCAACUGUGGAUCAAGAAUAGGUUCAUCUGUACUAAACAUGUAUAGACUUUUCUUCUUGUCUGUAUUCCCUAAAUGAAAUAGUAUGACAAGCCAAGCAUGGUGGCUCACACCUGUAAUCACAGCACUUUGGGAGGCUGAGGCAGGAGGAUUGCUUGAGCCCAGGAGUUUGAGACCAGCCUAAGCAACAUAGACCCCAACUCUACCAAAAAAUUUUUUUAGCCAGGCAUGGUGGCAUGUGCCUGUAGUCUUGGCUACUCAGGAGGCUGAAGUGGGAGGUUCACUUGAGCCCAGGAGGUCAAGGUUGUAGUGAGCUGUGAUCGCGCCACAGCCCUCCAGCCGGGACGACAGAGUGAGACCCUGUCUCAAACAAACAAACAUAGAUAUAUAGUACGCCAACUUACAUAACAUUUACAUUGUAUUAGGCAUUAUAAGUAACCUAGACAUGAUUUAAAGGAGGAUAUGAAUAGGUUACAUGCAAAUUCUAUACCAUUUUAUAUAAGGAACUUGAUCACCCAUGGAUUUUGGGUGCAGGGUCUGGAAACCAAUCCCCCACAGAUAUUGUGGAGAGAUCAUACAUUUUCAUCUGAUAUUUUGACUUCUAACCUGAAAUUGUAUAUUUGCUCCAAAGUGAAACUCUUCCUAAGAGUUUUUAUCUUAGACACAUGGAAUCCAAAGAACCUUGAGGAAUUAUCUGGCAUAUCUCACUCCAUUAUUCAUGGAAACCAUUGAGCUCUGACGCUGAAUAUCUCUUGUUAGCUUCUCGCGUGUCUUUAUUGUUUUAUGGACUGAAUGUUUAUGUCCCCCCAAAAUUCAUAUGUUAAAAUCCUAAUCCCCAAUGUGCUGGUACUAGGAGGUGAGGCCUUUGGGAGAUAAUUGGGUUUAGAUGAGGUCGUGAAGACAAGGUCCCCAUGAUGGGAUUAGUGAGUUUUCUUAUAGGAUUUAGGCCACUCGGUCUAUGAUAUUCUGAAAUAGCAGCCUGAACUGAAACAAGACAAUUAUCAUCAAACAUCA
Gorilla gorilla gorilla (western lowland gorilla) is the source of this 2250-nucleotide long non-coding RNA. RefSeq lists it as uncharacterized. The record is from RefSeq and is a predicted model, not a curated record. NCBI's taxonomy places the organism in Eukaryota, Metazoa, Chordata, Mammalia, Primates, Hominidae. The transcript is spliced from 3 exons.